RNAcentral lists this long non-coding RNA (1601 nucleotides) under Medicago truncatula (barrel medic). RNAcentral's name for it is "lncRNA gene11698". The record is from RNAcentral. Lineage: Eukaryota; Viridiplantae; Streptophyta; Magnoliopsida; Fabales; Fabaceae.
UUAUCAUAAAAUAGAUGUUCAAAUAUCAUUUCUCUUUUGAAUUUCCAAUACAUACAUUUAUAGUGUACUAUUGUAUAAUAAUAGUUGUAUAAUGUAUAUGUUGGUUGCCUUUGUAUUACAACUUUUCACUUCCUCUUUUUUCUCUAUCAACCUUAAUUAGUAGUAAUAUUUUACGCUAUCUAUUCCCACCCCUACAUGUACAAGGUAAAAAAAUCCCAAAGUAAACUUACUUGUAAGUUGUAAUCAAGGUGUAAUCAAACCCAAAACCUCACAAAUCGAAAAAGAAAAGCAAAAACAACAAUGGCAACCACCAUAAUAAUCAUAUCCAUAACCCUCUCUCUCCUCAACUUUUUCUCUCUCCUCUCUCUCUUCCUCCCACAAAACUCCUCAAACCUCUUCUUCUCUCUGUCAAUAUCCACUUUCCACCUCUCACCCUUCUCCAUAGCCCCAACCAAAAUCCCCAAACUAUCCCUCCCAAUCAAAUGUCUUCCAUCCAUAUCCUCCAUACUAAAACUCACCCCAGUCACGUGCAUCUCACCCCCAACUUUCCCACAGCACGUGACCUUCACCAUACACUGCACCAUUCCCAUUACCGUACCAUAUAAAACCUCUAACUCCCCCGUAAGCCAAUGUCUUCUAACUGUUACCGGUAACCGGCUUGACAAGUUAACCGAACGCUUACGUGUCGGUUCAAUAAUAAUCCAACUAAGACUCAAAUUUUGUUCUAACCAUUCAACGACGUCGUUUUGUUCAAACUUAAUAUUUGUUUCAAUAAUUUCAUUUGGUUCUAGAAUUUCAAUCCAUAGAGGUGAACAAAGAAACCAUCCUUUAUGUGUUUCUGUUCUUAGAAGCUUUGAAAAGACAGGUCUGCCCUUGUAAUAUAAAUCAACUGCGGAGAAUAAUUCCUUCGGAGCAGAUAAAGCCAAUGAAGAUGAAGAAGAAGUAUCUGAAGAUGAAGAUGAAUAAUGGAUGGACGGGAAGGAGUCGGAGAAGAUGGAGCGAUGAGAGGAUGGGAAGGUGGAGAUGAGUGACGUGGCGGAGGGGUUAUUGAGAGAUGGCCAUGUGGAGGUGAUGAUUUUUUGCCAUAGGUGGUGUUCUGUGCAGAGGUUGUGAAGGUGGGUGGCGGUGGAGGAGACGGAGGUGAGUGAUGUGCCGUCAAGUCGGGAGAGGAUGUGGGAUUGGAGUAUGUAGGGGUGGAUGGUGGUGAUUGGUGAAUCCAUAAAUGAAUAUGUAUGUUAUUAGGUUGAUAGUUUGUGUUGGAAUAUUGGAAGGGUUUUAGGAGGAAAAGGAUGAAGAUUUUGUGUUGUGUGAGAAAUGAAAGUGUGGAGAGGGGAAGAGAUGUGUGGGUUUUAUAUAGGUGGAUAGUAUAUUGAUUUACUGUAGUAGUGUGAGAACUCCCCUUCUUCACUUGUGUGAUUUUUAAAUAGCUAUUUUGUAAAUUGUUUACGAAUAAUACUUACUCAUUGUAAAAAAAAAAUAUGGUGAUAGGUGGUGAGGGAUUAGGAAAGGGACGUUAUUUGCGUGUUCAGUGGCAAAUACAAACAAUUUGAGGAAAUAAUGUAGUCAAGAGUCAAGAGUGGCUGUUAAUUAGUUUAGUUUAG